CCUACGGGUGGCAGCAGUGGGGAAUAUUGCACAAUGGGGGAAACCCUGAUGCAGCGACGCCGCGUGAGCGAAGAAGUAUUUCGGUAUGUAAAGCUCUAUCAGCAGGGAAGAAAAUGACGGUACCUGAGUAAGAAGCUCCGGCUAAAUACGUGCCAGCAGCCGCGGUAAUACGUAGGGAGCAAGCGUUAGCCGGAUUUACUGGGUGUAAAGGGAGCGCAGGCGGCCUUGCAAGUCUGAUGUGAAAGACCGGGGCUCAACCCCGGAGCUGCAUUGGAAACUGUGAGGCUGGAGUGUAGGAGAGGAAAGCGGAAUUCCUAGUGUAGCGGUGAAAUGCGUAGAGAUUAGGAGGAACACCAGUGGCGAAGGCGGCCUGCUGGACGGUGACUGACGCUGAGGCGCGAAAGCGUGGGGAGCAAACAGGAUUAGAUACCCCUGUAGUC
This 440-nucleotide ribosomal RNA is filed under the name uncultured bacterium. Its description in RNAcentral is "partial 16S ribosomal RNA". It matches the Rfam family "Bacterial small subunit ribosomal RNA", at positions 338 to 795 of the family's 1533-position model. The record is from RNAcentral.